Long non-coding RNA from Centrocercus urophasianus (Greater sage-grouse), 3273 nucleotides. RefSeq lists it as uncharacterized. The transcript is spliced from 3 exons. NCBI's taxonomy places the organism in Eukaryota, Metazoa, Chordata, Aves, Galliformes, Phasianidae. The record is from RefSeq and is a predicted model, not a curated record.
GCGGCGUCCGGAUGGCCGAGCCAUGCCAGCCCACGUCGCCCCAGCCCAGGUCGUCGGCCAGCACCAGCACCAGCUUCUAGGUAUUUCUCCAGACUUUCUGAUGGAAGCAGUGGAAUGUGUCACAGAGGCAUUCCAAAGAAAAUGAUAGAAGGAGAGACUGGAACUUCAAUCAGUACACAAGAGAUGAAAAUCCAUAGUGAAAGAAAGCAGAGAAGCAGGUUACAGAAAGUCUGCACCUUCUGCCAUCAGACUGAUGUGGUUGACCUGUUAACGAAUAGCACAUUUUUUCUUCCAAACUGGAAAGAGUUACAAGCCUGAUUUUUAACUUCCAGUUAGAAAUGUGGAUGGAAUAAGUGAAGCAGCAUUCUGUAUAACAGAGCUACUUAGGAGAAUACAUGUGACAGCCUGCCUCAGAAUUACUGUUAUUGUACAAUCCCAGGCAUCAAGUCUGGUGAAUCUGCAUAUUCACUGUUUGCAUAUUAAAAUUCAAAACUAUGUUCCUAAGAAUUGUUCUCUCUUCCUUCACAUUUUAAAUAGAACACUAUGACACUGUGCUGUAUUUUAGCUUUCUUAAUUUUUCACAGAAACACUGUGGCGAAAUGCCUUUUUAAAAACAAUGUCGCCUUUACAAAAAGUAUCACCUUUGAUAGGUUCAACGAAGCAGAAUCACUUACAAAAGCAAAAUAGAAGAUUAUUUCAGAAUGGAUUUUUCACCCAAGGCAGUACCACAUGCAAACUUCCAAAUCUUUUCUCUUGAUCUUCUUUGAUAAAAAAAAAUUUGGAACAGCACAAUGUAAUGUCAGUGUGGAAUAAAUCUUUUAAUAGGUGUAAAUGUUCACUGCUCAAACUGUGUUUCUCCUUGUAUAUUCUAUUUAUACAUUUCCUUCUUUGAGAAAGAUUUAGAUAAAGUAAUUGGGGAAAAAAAAUCAUUUUGAGUAUUAUUUAUAGUCAUAUGAACUUCAAAAAUGUUUGUGUGUAGCCUAAAAAUGAGUGCUAGAGAUCAUGUAACAUUUCAAUUCAAAAUAACUGAUGAGCAUAUUAUGGAAUUCAGAAAUGUGUUUUAAUAAUUCAGUGUAUUCCCACUAUUUACAUUAUCCCAAUCCUACUUAUUUGGCUUAUCAAAUAUAAGAACCUCAUCUCCUGUGGAUUACAAUUUUUUCACUGUCAGUACUUCUGUCUAACAACAUAUGGUUCUAAUUACUCCUUAGUCUACAAUUAACAGGAAAAGGAGGAACAGAAGAUCUUCAGUGGCAUGCCUGGCUACACAUUCAGACCAGUGAGUGCUUGAGACAGUAUUUUAACUUCCUUUCAGAGACUGAGCAAUAACAUGUACAUGUUAUCUACCAGCUAAUCUGUAUGAAAUAAUGAUGAACAUUUCCUGUAACUGUUGCAUUAAGAAGAUUUUGAUCAUUUCUGCCAGAGUGAUACAUUGAGGGGGGGAGAAAAAAAAAGCAAUUCAGUUUGCCUUUAAUACUGUCUUUAUUACUUUGUAAUGAUUUAUGGGAUAGAUUUCCAUUCUUUAGAGAGCAUUUCUGUGCAGAACAGUGAUAUUAUUUUAUUGAUAAGUUUGUUAACUCAUAACCGGUUAUAAGGAUAAGCUACUUUACCCCAAGGACAGGCAAAGGAGGAACUAUGAGUUUCCAGUUGAAGUAAGAAUUUGCUAUUAGUCAAUACUAAGAGCAACUUCUUCCUCUAUCUGAAUUCAGAUCUGCCAGCCAGCAUCUGAGCAAGCUGAAUCAAACCCAGCCACUUUCUGCUCUCAGCUGUUACUGAGAAUAGUGGAAACAUACUGGUCCAUCAGCUGUGCUCGGAUCUCUGAAAUGAACAGCGCAUACAAGGAAGCAAGGGGGCAAUGCCAUCAAAUUUCUCAGUGAAGAAUGGCAAUGAGAUUCUUACGUUCAGUAAUUAAGAAACCUGAGUAGUUUAAUUCUCUUAAUUGCAUGAUAUAAAAAGGACUGCACAAUAUACUGCACCAUUUCCUGUGUUCUCAUCUGUGUUUAUAUUUUGGGACUUUGACCCUUUCUCUGAAGGCGUGUUCUUGUUGGCUCAGUCAGCACCAGUGGCUCUUGUAUAAUAGUUGCUGAAUAAUUUUUUCCUAGAAGUUCAACUUCCAACUUCUGUCCAACUUUGCUGAGCUCUAUGGGAACAUAUGCAAAAGCCAGACUCUGCUUAGCACUAUAGCUGAAACUUCCAGAUGUGGUAUUGCCAAUAACCUGGGGGAAAAAAAAAAUCCUUAAUGCAUAUAUUCAACAUCCAUGGAGUUUGUUUGUUGGUUGGAUUUUUGUUUGUUUGUUUUUUAAGAUAUACACCUCAGAUACUAAUUUUUGAUUGUAUAUUUCAUAUGCGAAGUAAAUUUCAAGUGCAUCGUGCUGUUCAUAACAUUAUCUGUGAAUGGCAUCACCUUAAGCUGGUAACUUUUUGCUCCCUGAAAAAGAGUUUAUUCCUGUUGCUUUCAGUUCAGUUUUUACCAGGAACAAACACUACACACACACGUAGAUACACAAUUUUUAUAUGUAUAUAUAUAAUUGAUACACAAUGAUUUAAUUGCUACUAAGUAUUUCAAUACAUAAUCUGAGCUGAAGUGUGAAUGCCUAAGCUUCACUGUUGUUUAUUUUUCUUUUAAGCAAGUAACAGAAAUUAUCUUAGAACAAUUAUGAACUUGCAAAAUGACUUAGUGGUUAAUUCAAUAAAUGGAUGACUAUACUUCAGUCUUUUCUAUUCCUGUUUCUGUGACAGUACUCCAUACAUAAACAAUGCUGCUUCCUACCUGAAGGUUAGAAAAUGGCGUCGUGGCUUACAAUUCUUCUGUGCCAGCAGAACAAAGAUAUUAUAUUCACACUUGAAACAUGAAGUUAGGUACUGUUUGUGAAUUAACUUUAGCUUCUUGUAACAUGAUUUAUUGUCAUUACCUUGCCAUUAUGCCACACACUUUCAUUUCCCUCAGGAUCAACAUCAUCUGUUUCCAAGGUGAGAUAUACUAGUCGUCGUUUGAGUCCCUUUUCUUUAAUUUGCUUCAGUGUUUUCUUUCCUGUAAAGUCUGCUGGCUGAGAAAAUAGAAGAUAAUAUGAUAUUCAGGUUGCUCAGGUUCUACAAGAAGCGAUAAAAACAUUUAUAUUUUUUUAUUGGUUUUCCUAGCACUUAAGUAUUCUGUAUGAAAUACAGAUUAAAUCAGUUUGUUGACAGACAUUAUACUUUGUAUCUCAAUGUUUUUAUAUUUGUACAUUUCAUCUUGGUAAUUUUAUUCAGCAUAUUAAUUUUACUAGAUCCCAGUCU